This 2059-nucleotide long non-coding RNA is filed under the name Citrus sinensis (sweet orange). RNAcentral describes it as "long non-coding RNA (CSIN_LNC005045)". Lineage: Eukaryota; Viridiplantae; Streptophyta; Magnoliopsida; Sapindales; Rutaceae. The record is from RNAcentral.
AGUAAGCAAACUAGUUUUUCUUAUAGAAAAUACAUACAUACUUAUACAUAAUGCAAUGGAUGAUAUGCCAUGAUCUUUUGGAAAUACUGUAAAAUAAAUUCAAAAAAAUCUCUUUCUGUCACUUUCAAACUUUCUCAUUUUCUUUCGAUGAAAUAUGUAUCCUGCAAUGUGGCACUUUGUGCUGUGCGUGGCACUUUGCACCAUGCGUGGCACUUUGCGGCGCUCUGGCCCUCAAGAGGUGGCCCCCGCAUAGUCUCAAGAGGUGGCCCCCACACAACUUCAAGAGGUGGCCCCCAAUGCAAAAUCUCAUAAAACAGAAAUUCCGUUUGCUAAAAUCCACUUUCUCAUUCAUAGAAAACUCAAUGCAUUUUCGUGCUCAUGCCAAUGAACCAUCACACAUACAUAUGCCCAUGUACAUAAUCACGCCCAUUACAUAACAACACAUCACAUAAACACAUGAGCAGAGACAUAUAAAUCCAUAUUCGUACAUAUCAAAAUAGGACAUCCGCCUUGGCCGUACAGCAGAGCUCUCACCAAGAAACACCUCUUUUCUGACAAAUGCAACGUAAUAUGAUCACGUCCUGCUUAAUAACACAAAGCAUAGAGGCUGCUCUAAUACUUUUCUAACUUAGCCAAAGUUGUUGAAGAUAUAAGUACUUUUAAGUGCUCAGUAAUCUUUAUUAAAUUAGCAUGAUUGGACAUAAUUAAAAAAUGAAAAUUGAAUCAUUAUGAUGAUUGAAUUAGGUAGUUUGAUUGGUGUUAUUUUGUCUAAUUAUCAAGGAGAACAUUCAAUUAUAUACAAUAUGUCCUUCCUAUUUUCUCUUUUAAUUAAAUCAUAAAAAGACUUGCAAUAUUGAUUAUGUAUCUGUUAUGUUGGUUAUUGAAGUGAAUUAUAGUUGUUUUCGUGAUUGUCAAAUAUUGUCUUUGUAACUUAUUUAUUUUUUAUUUAUGAAAUCAAUGGGGAUUUUGCUCUUAUUGAUGGAUGUUGCUGGGUACUAAGAACUGAUGGUCGUAUUAAUUAAUCAGUAUAAGUUAGUUGAAAGUUCAAUGUUCAUGCACUUUUGAGCUACAUAAGGCAAGGAAAAUUGAGUGACUUUAUGUGAUGUAAUGUGACACUAUUCAAUUAAGCAACUCUACUUUUUAGUGAUGGACACAAAUGAAACUAGUGGACUUGCAUUAGCUAGAUGAUAAUUAAAAGGCCAAGAUUAUAUCUUUAACACCCCAGUCCGAAAUCCAAGGGCAAAUAUGUCCACAACUCACAUAUGAUUUAAAUAACUCUUUACAAACAAUAAAAUCCGAGCUUCAAAUACAAAAGCCAGCGGAAUAACUUAAAAAUUUAGCCAAACCAUCUACCAUCUUUAACUUGUCACUCAUCACGAAUCAAUCCUGGAUCUACUAUCCUCAAUUUAAAUCCAUCUUCUCACUCAUCGCGAAUCAAUCCUGACUUCUGGAAACUGAAUCACAAUAAACUAUAACGAGUACAAAACCCAGUAAGCAAACUAGUUUUUUUUAUACCAAAAUACAUCCAUACUUAUACAUAAUGCAAUGGAUGAUAUGCCAUGAUCUUUUGGAAAUAUUGUAAAAUAAAUUCAUAAAAAUCUAUUUCUGUCGCUUUCAAACUUUCUCAUUUUCUUUCGAUGAAAUACAUAUCCUGCAAUGUGGCACUUUGUGCUGUACGUGGUACUAUGCACCAUGCGUGGCACUUUGCUGCGCUCUGGCCCUCAAGAGGUGGCCCCCGCAUAGUCUCAAGAGGUGGCCCCCACACAACUUCAAGAGGUGGCCCCCAAUGCAAAAUCUCAUAAAACAGAAAUUCCGUUUGCUAAAAUCCACUUUCUCAUUCAUAGAAAACUCAAUGCAUUUUCGUGCUCAUGCCAAUGAACCAUCACACAUACAUAUGCCCAUGUACAUAAUCACGCCCAUUACAUAACAACACAUCACAUAAACACAUGAGCAGAGACAUAUAAAUCCAUAUUCGUACAUAUCAAAAUAGGCUUUUCAUACAAGUCAGACAUAUAUAUUAUUUAUUGUGAUUCGUUUUAAAGUCUAGUUCACUUACCUC